RNAcentral lists this transfer RNA (75 nucleotides) under archaeon. Its description in RNAcentral is "tRNA-Glu". It matches the Rfam family "tRNA". From Rfam's summary of the family: Transfer RNA (tRNA) molecules are approximately 80 nucleotides in length. RNAcentral also lists the same sequence under 2 other names. The record is from RNAcentral.
GCUCCGGUGGUGUAGCCCGGACAAGCAUCAGAGGCUCUCGCCCUCUAGACCCGGGUUCAAAUCCCGGCCGGAGCA